ACAUCUUUCUAAAGGAAAACCGAAGUACCAGAAAUCGUGAGUUGUGAGGAGGGUUAGAACGAAUUAAAGACACCUGUCUUUACUGAGUGUAUUUAUUUAAAUAGGAGUUUUAUAUAAAGACGAAUAAGAAACGUUUACUACAAAAAGGUGGUGGAAAAGAGGCAGUCAGUCAGACCCUUUUCUGUGACGUGAUACGCGCUUAGUACUAAAAGGCACAGUAGAAGUACAAAGCUGGUAUCCACCAAUUUGGUCCACAGAAGUCAGAUCUUCACUAAGUGCAUGCAUACGGCCAGACUUCUGAUAUUACAUUUCUGCUUAGAGAGGGGGUGCGGAAUACCCUAUGCCCUGCACAGCACAGGAGCCUUCCUGAUUCCCUCAGCUUUAGAUAAUAUUAUGGAAGACUUGGGGGGUCACUUUGUGCAGACUUAAUUGAGGAAAGACGGAUUCUUACAUGCGAUACGGCAGUUGUUAGCGGAUAAGAGAAGGAACUUUAGAAACACUCACUAUUGCUGGAUCUGCAGGCAGCAAUAAUCUGAUCAUCCAAGAGCCAAGCUGAGGUCUUUGAAGAACUCUCAGAGUUAUUCACUGCAUUCCCCACGUUGCUGACUGACAAGGAGUAGUAGGCCUCUGAGGCCUAGAACACAUGUAGCCUGGACUAGCAGUGGAAGAACAGAAAAAAAUCAGGCACAAUCCUUCACACCACAGAUUCUCUCUUCCUUGAGA
Long non-coding RNA from Protopterus annectens (West African lungfish), 723 nucleotides. RefSeq lists it as uncharacterized. Lineage: Eukaryota; Metazoa; Chordata; Ceratodontiformes; Protopteridae. The transcript has 3 exons. The record is from RefSeq and is a predicted model, not a curated record.